RNAcentral lists this ribosomal RNA (74 nucleotides) under uncultured Bifidobacterium sp. RNAcentral describes it as "partial 16S ribosomal RNA". Lineage: Bacteria; Bacillati; Actinomycetota; Actinomycetes; Bifidobacteriales; Bifidobacteriaceae. The record is from RNAcentral.
UGGGCUUGACAUGUUCCCGACCGCGGCAGAGAUGUCGUUUCCCUUCGGGGCGGGUUCACAGGUGGUGCAUGGUC